This 1439-nucleotide long non-coding RNA is filed under the name Nicotiana benthamiana. RNAcentral's name for it is "long non-coding RNA (NBEN_LNC020447)". Lineage: Eukaryota; Viridiplantae; Streptophyta; Magnoliopsida; Solanales; Solanaceae. The record is from RNAcentral.
GUCUUCUAGGCUUUCACCCUCUGCCAGUCAGCUAUCGAGAUUGAGAUGCCUGCCUCAAAACCAGUCAUCCGAGUGGGGCCCUGCGACAUGUGCCAUAUUUAGGUUGCUUGCGACUGAGACUUUUAGGGAUUUAGAUAACAUCCGGUCGGGAAAGAGCCACUACUUGGCUUAAUUAAUUGAAGGAAAAUUAGAUCCCUCUUCGACAUCAGAUUCUUAUCCUCUUUUCCGGGGGAAAGGAUGUUUUAUUCUCUACGGCCCAAGGAAAAAGUGGUCUGCUUUAUGGAAUCUUAUCUCAGCAAGGGGUGUCGCUUUCGUUUUCAAUAAGGACGUUUAGUAGGAGGUACUUGCCCUUAGAACCAUAAGAUUGACAUUGGCGAGUCGCCUUUUUCUUUUUACAUGAAAGGUGGGUAGGGGAUCUUAAUACUGCCAAAGAGCUCGAGUAGAUUCAUGAAUGUCCUGGAAUUUCAGUAUGGGCAAAAGAGGUCGAGAGAGUCUUAUGCCGCGCAAUCUCUUGCCGAAUCUAUUUAGACUAUGUUAAAUCCAUAACCCGAGAACACACAUUUGCGAAUCCGGCCUAAAGGGGAGGCUCUAAUCUACUAUCUAUUAAUCUAUUAAUAGAACUAGAGCCCAUUUUCAGCUUCCCUAGGAGCUAGAGAUAGAAUGAUUUCCGCUGCCAUAAAAAAGUGGGUUUAGCCUUCCCCGGGGACUACUCUAAAGGGAAACUAAAUGUCUUAUAGUUAAGAGAGCCCCCUAAGGUCGAGUGAGCUGGAGCGCGUCUGGCCUAAGCUGAUUUAUUAGGCUAGGGUCAAAGUGCUUUUAAUUCGUUGGCCGGUGUAAAACGAAUCAAAGAAGGUAUACCUCGUCCGCAGCCAGAAAAUGGUUGGAGAGUGAGAAGGAGGAAGCACUAAUCGCCCUACAUCGGAAACUUAGAAGAGAAAGGUUCGCCGAUGAAGCUGAUUGGGGUAGGUGAAGUACGUGAUGGACUUUACCAUUACUUGCCAACUUCUCCCGAAAGUGAAUACUUAUGUAAACCGAAAAGCGCAUAAAAACUUAAGAAAGGGACAGUCUCCUCGACUGAUAACCGAGCAAUCCCAAAAGGAGACCACAUGGCGACCCAUCCAUAGGACUAAUCUACCAAAUGAACCCCUCCCUGGGCAACGGACUACUUCUUUUUAGAGCGGGCUAUUUCUAGGGCGAGGAAUAUAUUUCUAUUUAACUACUCCAUCUGGUCAAGAGCCAGCAUCUCAAUGCAACAUUAUUCCAUUCUCAGUCUGUAGUGCUUCUGCCAGCUAAUGCUAAUAGAAGAUAAGAGAUUGUUGAAAGUAACUGAACAAGGUUGUACAGCUUUGGUUCAUUAAUAUCAAGUCUAAAGGGCCAUGUAUCCAUAGUCAAAGUCCCCUGUGAUCAAGCAUAGUUUGUGAAAGUGGGAUCUUUUUUUC